RNAcentral lists this ribosomal RNA (253 nucleotides) under uncultured bacterium. RNAcentral's name for it is "partial 16S ribosomal RNA". It matches the Rfam family "Bacterial small subunit ribosomal RNA", at positions 524 to 776 of the family's 1533-position model. The record is from RNAcentral.
UACGAAGGGGGCUAGCGUUGUUCGGAUUUACUGGGCGUAAAGCGCACGUAGGCGGAUUGUUAAGUGAGAGGUGAAAUCCCGGAGCUCAACUCCGGAACUGCCUUUCAUACUGGCAAUCUAGAGUCCGGAAGAGGUGAGUGGAACUCCUAGUGUAGAGGUGGAAUUCGUAGAUAUUAGGAAGAACACCAGUGGCGAAGGCGGCUCACUGGUUCGGUACUGACGCUGAGGUGCGAAAGCGUGGGGAGCAAACAGG